UGGGGAAUAUUGCACAAUGGGCGCAAGCCUGAUGCAGCCAUGCCGCGUGUGUGAAGAAGGCCUUCGGGUUGUAAAGCACUUUCAGCGAGGAGGAAGGUGGUGGACUUAAUACGUUCAUCAAUUGACGUUACUCGCAGAAGAAGCACCGGCUAACUCCGUGCCAGCAGCCGCGGUAANUACGGAGGGUGCAAGCGUUAAUCGGAAUUACUGGGCGUAAAGCGCACGCAGGCGGUUUGUUAAGUCAGAUGUGAAAUCCCCGGGCUCAACCUGGGAACUGCAUUUGAAACUGGCAAGCUAGAGUCUCGUAGAGGGGGGUAGAAUUCCAGGUGUAGCGGUGAAAUGCGUAGAGAUCUGGAGGAAUACCGGUGGCGAAGGCGGCCCCCUGGACGAAGACUGACGCUCAGGUGCGAAAGCGUGGGGAGCAAAACAGGAUUAGAUACCCGUGGUAGUCCACGCUGUAAACGAUGUCGAUUUGGAGGUUGUGCCCUUGAGGCGUGGCUUCCGGAGCUAACGCGUUAAAUCGACCGCCUGGGGAGUACGGCCGCAAGGUUAAAACUCAAAUGAAUUGACGGGGUCAUACU
Molecule: ribosomal RNA, 581 nt
Filed under: uncultured bacterium
Lineage: Bacteria
Description: partial 16S ribosomal RNA
Rfam family: Bacterial small subunit ribosomal RNA
Source: RNAcentral